This 112-nucleotide small RNA is filed under the name Marmota monax (woodchuck). The record is from RNAcentral. Lineage: Eukaryota; Metazoa; Chordata; Mammalia; Rodentia; Sciuridae.
GCUGGGCGUGGUAGUGCACACCUGUAAUCCCAGCAAUCCUAGGAGGCUGAGGCAGGAGGAUCACAAGUUCGAGCGAAGCCAGCCUGGGCAACUUAGUGAGACCCUGUUUCAA